GAUGAACGCUGGCGGCGUGCCUAAUACAUGCAAGUCGAGCGAACAGACGAGGAGCUUGCUCCUCUGACGUUAGCGGCGGACGGGUGAGUAACACGUGGAUAACCUACCUAUAAGACUGGGAUAACUUCGGGAAACCGGAGCUAAUACCGGAUAAUAUAUUGAACCGCAUGGUUCAAUAGUGAAAGACGGUUUUGCUGUCACUUAUAGAUGGAUCCGCGCCGCAUUAGCUAGUUGGUAAGGUAACGGCUUACCAAGGCAACGAUGCGUAGCCGACCUGAGAGGGUGAUCGGGCACACUGGAACUGAGACACGGUCCAGACUCCUACGGGGGGCAGCAGUAGGGAAUCUUCCGCAAUGGGCGAAAGCCUGACGGAGCAACGCCGCGUGAGUGAUGAAGGUCUUCGGAUCGUAAAACUCUGUUAUUAGGGAAGAACAAAUGUGUAAGUAACUAUGCACGUCUUGACGGUACCUAAUCAGAAAGCCACGGCUAACUACGUG
This 497-nucleotide ribosomal RNA is filed under the name uncultured bacterium. Its description in RNAcentral is "partial 16S ribosomal RNA". It matches the Rfam family "Bacterial small subunit ribosomal RNA", at positions 28 to 507 of the family's 1533-position model. The record is from RNAcentral.